RNAcentral lists this ribosomal RNA (431 nucleotides) under uncultured bacterium. RNAcentral describes it as "partial 16S ribosomal RNA". It matches the Rfam family "Bacterial small subunit ribosomal RNA", at positions 29 to 507 of the family's 1533-position model. The record is from RNAcentral.
AACGAACGCUGGCGGCAGGCCUAACACAUGCAAGUCGAGCGCCCUUUCGGUGUAGCUGCGGACUUGUGAGUAACGCGUGGGAAUAUGCUCUUCUCUACGUCAUAUCCUCGUGUUUCUGAGAGUAUUACCGUAUACGCCCUGUGGUGGUAAGUUUUAUCUGGGAAGGAUUAGCCCGAGUUGGAUUCGGUCGUUGGUGGGGUAAUGGCCUACCAUUCCGACGAUCCAUAGCUGGUUUGAGAGGAUGAUCAGCCACAUUGGGACUGAGACACGGCCCAAACUCCUACGGGAGGCAGCAGUGGGGAAUCUUGCGCAAUGGGCGAAAGCCUGACGCAGCCAUGCCGCGUGAAUGAUGAAGGUCUUAGGAUUGUAAAAUUCUUUCACCGGGGACGAUAAUGACGGUACCCGGAGAAGAAGCCCCGGCUAACUUCGUG